RNAcentral lists this long non-coding RNA (101 nucleotides) under Ictidomys tridecemlineatus (thirteen-lined ground squirrel). RNAcentral's name for it is "lncRNA (ENSSTOG00000029927.1)". The record is from RNAcentral. Lineage: Eukaryota; Metazoa; Chordata; Mammalia; Rodentia; Sciuridae.
UUAUUGGUUGGAGCCCUAUGAGAGGUAAUCCAAGUCUUUCAUCAAGGAGGCAGCAUCCACCGAGCAGAGGAAUGAGAGUAUCCAAGUAGGAUACUUUGGAA